AUGUCGUAAUGUGGACAUUUCUAUAACAAAUCGUUCAAACGCUCCCAUGCUUCCUGCAAAGGUUCUCCUUUGUUUUGGGAGAAUUCAUGGAUAUAAGCUCUCAUAGCAU
This is a small nucleolar RNA of Cornus florida, 109 nucleotides long. The record is from RefSeq and is a predicted model, not a curated record. Lineage: Eukaryota; Viridiplantae; Streptophyta; Magnoliopsida; Cornales; Cornaceae.